RNAcentral lists this ribosomal RNA (467 nucleotides) under uncultured Oomycota. RNAcentral's name for it is "LSU rRNA". It matches the Rfam family "Eukaryotic large subunit ribosomal RNA", at positions 326 to 629 of the family's 3401-position model. The record is from RNAcentral. Lineage: Eukaryota; Oomycota.
GUGCGAGACCGAUAGCGAACAAGUACCGUGAGGAAAAGAUGAAAAGAACUUUGAAAAGAGAGUUAAAGAGUACCUGAAACUGCUGAAAGGGAAGCGAAUCGUAUCCAGUGUCUAUAAUCUGAGGCAUAUUUCAUUGGCGGCAGUGUGCGUGCUUUUGCGUCGGAAGCGGCUUUUGUUGCUCUGUGCUUUUGCUGUGCGUGCUGUUGCUGGUGCCCUGUGUUGCGGUGGGACGUCAGAGUCAGUUCGUAUGCUGCGGGAAAUGGCCGCCGAGGAGGUAGGUCAGGACUUCGGUCUUGGCUGUUAUAUCUUGGUGGUUUGUUGUCGUGGUUGGGACUGAGGUGCCUACAAUGUGCUUUUGAGUGUGCCGGGUUCUCAUUUGGUGGACUGUUUGGAUAGCUUGCUAUGCUUGUGGUUUUUUCAUCGAGUGAUUGAGUCUGGUGGUAACUUGUUGCUGUUCGGGACUUUGA